Molecule: ribosomal RNA, 174 nt
Filed under: Schistura balteata
Lineage: Eukaryota; Metazoa; Chordata; Actinopteri; Cypriniformes; Nemacheilidae
Description: partial 12S rRNA
Source: RNAcentral
CACCGCGGUUAUACGAGGGGCCCCAGCUGAUAAACACGGCGUAAAGGGUGGUUAAGGGAACAAAACUUUUAAAGCCAAAGGGCCUCUUGGCCGUCAUACGCUCCUAAGUGUCCGAAGCCCAACAAACGAAAGUAGCUUUAACAUAACCUGCCUGACCCCACGAAAGCUAAGAAA